RNAcentral lists this ribosomal RNA (463 nucleotides) under uncultured Desulfosporosinus sp. Its description in RNAcentral is "bacterial SSU rRNA". It matches the Rfam family "Bacterial small subunit ribosomal RNA", at positions 920 to 1382 of the family's 1533-position model. Lineage: Bacteria; Bacillati; Bacillota; Clostridia; Eubacteriales; Desulfitobacteriaceae. The record is from RNAcentral.
CCCGCACAAGCGGUGAGCAUGUGGUUUAAUUCGACGCAACGCGAAGAACCUUACCAGGGCUUGACAUCUACAGAAUCCUGAGGAAACUCAGGAGUGCCCUUCGGGGAACUGUAAGACAGGUGGUGCAUGGUUGUCGUCAGCUCGUGUCGUGAGAUGUUGGGUUAAGUCCCGCAACGAGCGCAACCCCUAUGUUUAGUUGCUAGCGAGUAAAGUCGAGCACUCUAGACAGACUGCCGGUGAUAAACCGGAGGAAGUGGGGAUGACGUCAAAUCAUCAUGCCCCUUAUGUUCUGGGCUACACACGUGCUACAAUGGCCGGUACAAACGGAAGCGAAGCCGCGAGGUGAAGCAAAUCUGAUAAAACCGGUCUCAGUUCGGAUUGCAGGCUGCAACUCGCCUGCAUGAAGUCGGAAUCGCUAGUAAUCGCAGGUCAGCAUACUGCGGUGAAUACGUUCCCGGGCCUU